Molecule: ribosomal RNA, 460 nt
Filed under: uncultured bacterium
Lineage: Bacteria
Description: bacterial SSU rRNA
Rfam family: Bacterial small subunit ribosomal RNA
Source: RNAcentral
ACUCCUACGGGAGGCAGCAGUGGGGAAUAUUGGACAAUGGGCGAAAGACCUGAUCCAGCCAUGCCGCGUGUGUGAAGAAGGUCUUCGGAUUGUAAAGCACUUUAAGUUGGGAGGAAGGGCAGUAAAUUAAUACUUUGCUGUUUUGUACGUUACCGACAGAAUAAGCACCGGCUAACUCUGUGCCAGCAGCCGCGGUAAUACAGAGGGUGCAAGCGUUAAUCGGAAUUACUGGGCGUAAAGCGCGCGUAGGUGGUUUGUUAAGUUGGAUGUGAAAUCCCCGGGGCUCAACCUGGGAACUGCAUUCAAAACUGACUGACUAGAGUAUGGUAGAGGGUGGUGGAAUUUCCUGUGUAGCGGUGAAAUGCGUAGAUAUAGGAAGGAACACCAGUGGCGAAGGCGACCACCUGGACUAAUACUGACACUGAGGUGCGAAAGCGUGGGGAGCAAACAGGAUUAGAUA